This 888-nucleotide long non-coding RNA is filed under the name Apteryx owenii (little spotted kiwi). Its description in RNAcentral is "lncRNA (ENSAOWG00000016169.1)". The record is from RNAcentral. Lineage: Eukaryota; Metazoa; Chordata; Aves; Apterygiformes; Apterygidae.
GUAUUCUAAGCACAGAGAGCAAUUCUGCUGUACUAAGCAAAAUUGUCCGUUACUAUUUCUGUUUAUUUUCUUUUUUAACAUGAGAAAAAAUCACUUUUCCCAGUACCUUGAGUUGAGCAUAAAAAGAAGGCUUGAAAAUCUGUACUUACUUUCUCUUUCAUUAAGCAUUUUGUCAUCCACAGAUAGGAUUCAAACAUUGUAAAUUAUUUUUAUUAACCCUACUGUGACUUGUUUUGGCACCCCUGAGGGAUGAUAUCAUUUUGAUGUUUAACAGUACUGCCAGGAAAUAUUGUCUCAAUAGUGCUAAGUAUUGCUCCUGGACUAGAAAAAGGAAAUUUUUACAAUGCGUCUGCAGUAUCUCCCUCUUUCUACUAAUGGAAUAGAAACGCUGCCCACCCUUUGGGAAAAGGAAGGCGAGAGGCAUGACGGGACCCUGUGGUGCAGUGCGGUGCUGGGCCAGGCCUUGGAGAGGAGUGUGGUGUGACAAAUAAGUUCAGUUGGUACAUGGAGUGUAUCAUCAGAUUUGCUGGAUGAACUGCUGACAUUGUUCUUGAUAGUUUAAAAUAACAGCAGACAGUAUGAAAAAGGCAGUCUCCUCUGACAGGUGUUUUUUGCCAGUAGUAAUGUCCAGUAAUUGGAAUAAACUGCCAAGUGAAGGAAUAGAUUCUCCAUCUUUUGAUGAUUUUGUGGAAUGGGGUGCUGAGUCGCCUGAGAAGACUUUGUCAUUCCCAUCUCUGAAGUAUUCCUGCAGCUUUUCCAGGCUUUCCAAGGUGAGAAAGAGGGAGCUGAAGCAUCCUCAGUAGCUUCUUUGGAUCUCCAGUACUUCAAAGGCAGGAUUAGACCUGCAGGAUUAAUAAAUUUAACAACUAAAUCCUGAAGUAUGAUGAG